AAGGAGAAAAUAUCUGAGUCUAAUGAUCUGUUUAAAGCCCAUUUUGUUGUUGAUGUUGUUUUUGUUUUGUUUUGUGGCUAGUGAAACAGGACAAUGGAGGGAAUAUGAAAAAGAACAAGAUAAAGAAGAAGAGGAGCAGGAACACAAAAGGCUUCAAAGCUCCAGGUGUGAACAGAGAAGGAGGCUGUUGUCUGGGAAAUGCUGAGCAGAAGCACGUAAAGAAGGAGGAAGGGUGUACAAGUCACAAGUCAUCAAAAGCCCUGUUGGCUACGAGUCCUCACCAGCUAAUGACCCGGUCUGUUGACUGCCCAGAUUUGAUGCUUCAAAUUUUAACUACCAAGGCUACUGGAGAUAUUGCUUUGAAGAAAGAUUGCAAAUUGAUGGUCAUUCUUCUCAUAUAAUCUUUCUCCAGAAGGAAUUAUUUACACUGAAAAUUUUUUGGAGAAUAGAAAAAGCUUCUGAGGACAAAUGAAUAGAAGUAAAUGUUGGUUAAAGAAGAAAGCUAAUUAUUUUUCUUAGCUGUGGAACUUUUAGGUGUUUAUGAAAUGCUAAUAUAGGUUGUGAAUCUUUAAGAGGAUGACAUCCUAUUGACAAAAGAAAAUCUACCAACCGCUCAAGAAAGCUGUGUGCGCCAGAGAAAAUUUUGCAAAAAUCUUUCCUGGAAAAAGGAAGGACAUUUCAAUCUGUUGAGUUUUUCUUGACGUUGAUGGGAAUGGUAAACAGCUGGGGUCUGGAUGGCACACCAUGGGAUCACAAUCAAAAGGUCGAAAAUGAUACCAUUAAA
This 784-nucleotide long non-coding RNA is filed under the name Vulpes vulpes (red fox). Its description in RNAcentral is "lncRNA (ENSVVUG00000014423.1)". Lineage: Eukaryota; Metazoa; Chordata; Mammalia; Carnivora; Canidae. The record is from RNAcentral.